AGUGAACGCUGGCGGUAGGCCUAACACAUGCAAGUCGAACGGCAGCACAGUAAGAGCUUGCUCUUACGGGUGGCGAGUGGCGUACGGGUGAGGAAUACAUCGGAAUCUACUUUUUCGUGGGGGAUAACGUAGGGAAACUUACGCUAAUACCGCAUACGACCUACGGGUGAAAGCAGGGGAUCUUCGGACCUUGCGCGAUUGAAUGAGCCGAUGUCGGAUUAGCUAGUUGGCGGGGUAAAGGCCCACCAAGGCGACGCUCCGUAGCUGGUCUGAGAGGAUGAUCAGCCACACUGGAACUGAGACACGGCCCAGACUCCUACGGGAGGCAGCAGUGGGGAAUAUUGGACAAUGGGCGCAAGCCUGAUCCAGCCAUACCGCGUGGGUGAAGAAGGCCUUCGGGUUGUAAAGCCCUUUUGUUGGGAAAGAAAAGCAGCAGGUUAAUACCCCGCUGUUCUGACGGUACCCAAAGAAUAAGCACCGGCUAACUUCGUG
This 492-nucleotide ribosomal RNA is filed under the name uncultured bacterium. RNAcentral's name for it is "partial 16S ribosomal RNA". It matches the Rfam family "Bacterial small subunit ribosomal RNA", at positions 29 to 507 of the family's 1533-position model. The record is from RNAcentral.